Molecule: long non-coding RNA, 216 nt
Organism: Ziziphus jujuba (common jujube)
Lineage: Eukaryota; Viridiplantae; Streptophyta; Magnoliopsida; Rosales; Rhamnaceae
Exons: 3
Source: RefSeq, a predicted model, not a curated record
GUUGACUCGAGGCCAAAGUGCUUGGUGAUUGAUGAAAUAGAUGGAGCUCUUGGUGAUGGCAAAGGUGCUGUGGAGGUUAUUCUAAAGAUGGUUUCUGCAGAUAAGAAGUCUGAUACAGGGAAGGAGAAUUUUCCAAAUGAAGAAAAUCAUGAAAGUACAUAGAAAGUUUAUCAUUCAUAUGGAGUUUCCUUUUCAUGAUUCCCUGGAAAAUGGUAC